AGCAGCCGCGGUAAUUCCAGCUCCAAUAGCGUAUAUUAAAGUUGUUGCAGUUAAAAAGCUCGUAGUUGAAUUUCGAGAUCAAAUUGUUGGUCGUGCCUCGGUACGUACUGGCAUUAUUGAUUUCUCCCUUCUGAAGAACCACGAUGUCAUUAAUUUGGUGUCGUGGGGAAUCAGGACUGUUACUUUGAAAAAAUUAGAGUGUUUAAAGCAGGCUCACGCUUGAAUACAUUAACAUGGAAUAAUGAAAUAGGACGUUUGAUUCUAUUUUGUUGGUUUCUAGGAUCGACGUAAUGAUUAAUAGGGAUAGUUGGGGGCAUUAGUAUUCAAUUGUCAGAGGUGAAAUUCUUGGAUUUAUUGAAGACUAACUACUGCGAAAGCAUUUGCCAAGGAUGUUUUCAUUAAUCAAGAACGAAAGUUAGGGGAUCGAAGACGAUCAGAUACCGUCGUAGU
This 450-nucleotide ribosomal RNA is filed under the name uncultured Glomeromycotina. Its description in RNAcentral is "SSU rRNA". It matches the Rfam family "Eukaryotic small subunit ribosomal RNA", at positions 569 to 1024 of the family's 1831-position model. Lineage: Eukaryota; Fungi; Glomeromycota. The record is from RNAcentral.